Oncorhynchus tshawytscha (Chinook salmon) is the source of this 3020-nucleotide long non-coding RNA. The record is from Ensembl. Lineage: Eukaryota; Metazoa; Chordata; Actinopteri; Salmoniformes; Salmonidae.
AUAAUGUCCAUCUAAAUCUUUUAUUUUUAUUGGCCAGUCUGAGAUAUGGCUUUUUCUUUGCAACCCUGCCUAGUAGGGUGGUUGAAUUAGUAGGGAUAAAUAGUGUCUAGUAGGGUGGUUGAAUUAGUAGGGAUGAAUAGUGCUGGUUAGGGUGGUUGAAUUAGUGGGGAUGAAUAGUGCUGGUGUCUCGUUGUGUGGUUGAAUUAGGAGUGAUGAAUAGGGCUGGUGUCUAGUAGGGUGGUUGAAUUAGUAGGGAUGAAUAGUGUCUCGUAGGGUGGUUGAAUUAGUAGGGAUAAAUAGUGUCUAGUAGGGUGGUUGAAUUAGUAGGGAUGAAUAGUGUCUCGUAGGGUGGUUGAAUUAGUAGGGAUGAAUAGUGUCUCGUUGUGUGGUUGAAUUAGUAGGGAUGAAUAGUGUCUCGUAGGGUGGUUGAAUUAGUAGGGAUGAAUAGUGUCUCGUAGGGUAGUUGAAUUAGUAGGGAUGAAUAGUGUCUAGUAGGGUGGUUGAAUUAGUAGGGAUGAAUAGUGCUGUUGUCUAGUAGGGUGGUUGAAUUAGUAGGGAUGAAUAGGGCUGGUGUCUCGUAGGGUGUUUGAAUUAGGAGUGAUGAAUAGGGCUGGUGUCUCAUAGGAAAGAAAAUACAGGUUUUCUCCAACGGCCCUUAAAUUGACUGGUAUUUAAUACCAUCCUUUGUAAUGAUAACUGUUGCUGUUCAACGACUAUUGAUGAAACAGAUGAAUACAUGUUUACUAUCCUUUGAAGACUCGUAAGUGUCUCCAUGUGUAUAUUGUCAUACACAUCUGGUACGCCCACUCAAUCAGGAAAAAACUAGACGGUUCUCUCUCCUACCGCACGGCAAGCGGUACCGGAACGCCAAGUCCAGGUCCAAAAGGCUCCUCAACAGCUUCUACCCCCCAAGCCAGAAGACUGCUGAACAAUUAAUCAAAUGGCCACUGGGAAUAUUUACAUUGACCCCCUCUCUUUGUUUUAACACUGCUGCUACUCACUGUUUAUUACCUAUGCAUAGCCACUUUACCCCGACCUACAUGUACAAAAUACCUCAACUAUCCUGUACCCCUGCACAUUGACUCAGUACGGUAUAUUGCCUCAUUAUUGUUAUUUUAUUGUAUAACUUUUAAAUUAUUUUUUACCUUAGUUUAUUUAGUAAAUAUUUUCUUAACUCUACUUUCUUUUAAAACUGCAUUUUUAGUUAAGGGCUUGUAAGACAGUAUUUAACGAUAAGGUUGUUUUUGGCGCAUGUGAUAAAUAACAUGUCAUUUCAUUUGAAAAGAUAAAGGUAUUCUGUCCCGAAGUUUGUUACUGUGAACGAAAAAUUACAUUCGGACUUCUCCACUUAGGAACUGUGUGUGACUGAACCUUCCCAAAUAGUGCUCCUGCUGUACGGUUUCCACUAGAUAACACAGCAACAAAGUUGUAUAUUAUAUUGUAUUGUAACAAUCUAUGAAAACAAGUUAGCGUUAGGCAACAGGUUAGCGGUGUGAUUAAGGUUAGGUUUGAGGUUAGGGUUAAGGUUAGGUUUAUAAUGAGAUUUUAUUAUUAUUUAGAGACGUUUUAGCCAUUAUUAUGACUUUGUGGCUGUGUUAACUAGUGACCACACUGCUAUACAGCAUGGGACGAUGUGUGACAGUUGGGACACAACAGACAGACAGACAGACAGACAGACAGACAGACAGACAGACAGACAGACAGACAGACAGACAGGCGGAGAGACAGACAGACAGGCAGACAGACCCAACCGUGUGUGAGGGGUAGCUAGCUACAUCAGUCCUCUCUCCUUUCAUCAGCCUUCUUAGUCUGUACAGGCUCCAGCGAGGGUGACGUCAUCCUCUCCACUGACACACAAAUCACAGUAUUAAUCACUUUUUCACGUCCAUAGAUAUGUGGAUCCACCGACUGGCCAAGAUCUAACUGACAUCUGAGACAACACUUUCUGCUGUAAAUACCUGGAGCUGUGGAAUCUCAGCACGUGUCUCUGUUACAAUGAAGCGUUGGACACACAGGACUCAACAAGCACAACUUCAGAAUUGGCAAAUCUGGUGAAGUGGAAGUAUUAAAAUCAGGGGUGGUUGAAUUAGUAGGGAUGAAUAGUGUCUCGUAGGGUGGUUGAAUUAGUAGGGAUGAAUAGUGUCUCGUAGGGUGGUUGAAUUAGUAGGGAUGAAUAGGGCUGGUGUCUCUUAGGGUGGUUGAAUUAGUAGGGAUGAAUAGUGUCUCGUAUAAAUGACAAAUACAUUUGGUUUUGUUCUCCAACGGCCCUUAAAUUGACUGGUAUUUAAUACCAUCCUUUGUAAUGAUAACUGUUGCUGUUCAACGACUAUUGAUGAAACAGAUGAAUACAUGUUUUCUAUCCUUUGAAGACUCGUAAGUGUCUCCAUGUGUAUAUUGUCAUACACAUCUGGUACGCCCACUCAAUCAGGAAACAAAUAUAACAAUCCAAUACAAACACAUGGUCGAGGAUGCAACAUACAGGUUUGAAUCAGACCUGUGGUUAUAGGGUCAACAAAUGAAAUGCUGAGCAAACGGACCUGAACGUUUUUCGCACAAAUGUUCAAACUCUGAUUGAUUGACACGGAAGUCAGAGUUAAUGUCCUGAAUGUCUGCCGAUCUCAAAUUCGGGAUUUGAUGAUUUUAUGAAUUGUCAAAAUGGUCAAUCUGGAAUUGGUACAUGCAUUUUGAAACCUUUUAAAAUUGUGAUUUAAUGAUCUGUUAACAAUGUGAUUCUGUUUGUAAUUUUAAGGUUUUUAAAUUUAACUAGGUAAGUCAGUUAAGAGCAAAUUCUUAUUUACAAUGACGGCCUACACCGGCCAAACCCGGACGACGCUGGGCCAAUUGUGCACCGCCCUACGGGACUCCCAGUCACAGCCGGUUGUAAUACAGCCUGUAAUCUAACCAGGGUCUGUAGUGACGCCUCUAGCGCUGAGAUGCAGUACCUUAGACCGCUGUGAUACAGCCUGUAAUCUAACCAGGGUCUGUAGUGACGCCUCUAGCGCUGAGGUGCAGUGCCCUAG